GCGCUGUAGUGUAGUGGUUAGCACUCAGGAUUCUGACUCCUGCAACCCGAGUUCAAAUCUCGGCAGU
Molecule: transfer RNA, 67 nt
Filed under: Chlamydomonas leiostraca
Lineage: Eukaryota; Viridiplantae; Chlorophyta; Chlorophyceae; Chlamydomonadales; Chlamydomonadaceae
Rfam family: tRNA
About the family: Transfer RNA (tRNA) molecules are approximately 80 nucleotides in length. Their secondary structure includes four short double-helical elements and three loops (D, anti-codon, and T loops).
Source: RNAcentral